AUUGAACGCUGGCGGCAUGCUUUACACAUGCAAGUCGAACGGCAGCGCGGGGCAACCUGGCGGCGAGUGGCGAACGGGUGAGUAAUAUAUCGGAACGUACCCAGAAGUGGGGGAUAACGUAGCGAAAGUUACGCCAAUACCGCAUACGAUCUACGGAUGAAAGUAGGGGACCGCAAGGCCUUAUGCUUUUGGAGCGGCCGAUAUCUGAUUAGCUAGUUGGUGAGGUAAAGGCUCACCAAGGCGACGAUCAGUAGCUGGUCUGAGAGGACGACCAGCCACACUGGAACUGAGACACGGUCCAGACUCCUACGGGAGGCAGCAGUGGGGAAUUUUGGACAAUGGGCGCAAGCCUGAUCCAGCAAUGCCGCGUGAGUGAAGAAGGCCUUCGGGUUGUAAAGCUCUUUUGUCAGGGAAGAAACGGUAGAGGCUAAUAUCCUUUGCUAAUGACGGUACCUGAAGAAUAAGCACCGGCUAACUACGUG
This 482-nucleotide ribosomal RNA is filed under the name uncultured bacterium. RNAcentral describes it as "partial 16S ribosomal RNA". It matches the Rfam family "Bacterial small subunit ribosomal RNA", at positions 30 to 507 of the family's 1533-position model. The record is from RNAcentral.